RNAcentral lists this ribosomal RNA (432 nucleotides) under uncultured bacterium. RNAcentral's name for it is "partial 16S ribosomal RNA". It matches the Rfam family "Bacterial small subunit ribosomal RNA", at positions 29 to 506 of the family's 1533-position model. The record is from RNAcentral.
AACGAACGCUGGCGGCAUGCCUAACACAUGCAAGUCGAACGAGACCUUCGGGUCUAGUGGCGCACGGGUGCGUAACGCGUGGGAACCUGCCCUUAGGUUCGGAAUAACUCCCCGAAAGGGGUGCUAAUACCGGAUAAUGUCUUCGGACCAAAGAUUUAUCGCCUUUGGAUGGGCCCGCGUUGGAUUAGCUAGUUGGUAGGGUAAAAGCCUACCAAGGCGACGAUCCAUAGCUGGUCUGAGAGGAUGAUCAGCCACACUGGGACUGAGACACUGCCCAGACUCCUACGGGAGGCAGCAGUGGGGAAGAUUGGACAAUGGGCGAAAGCCUGAUCCAGCAAUGCCGCGUGAGUGAUGAAGGCCUUAGGGUUGUAAAGCUCUUUUACCCGGGAUGAUAAUGACAGUACCGGGAGAAUAAGCUCCGGCUAACUCCGU